GGGGUUACUUCAUUUAAUAGUCUGCAUUUCUAAUAUUUAAAAGGAAAAUCAUGAGAGUGAAUGCAAAAGUAUGUAGCUAUUAUCAACAGAGGCAGUGUACAUAGGCGUCUCAAUAUUGUUUUUGGUAUUUCAUAUAAAAGAAGAUCAAGCCUAAGAUUUCUCAUCCGUAAGUCUCUUUGAUGGGCUGGCAGAGAAAGAACCUGACACUUUUAGUAUGUUGUCUGAGAAUCACAGCUUACAGUUACUCGAUGUCUUCUGGUCUCACAGGAUGGGGCAGAGGUAUAAUUGAUUUCUUCUCUGUAUCCCUAGAAAGAGCUUUUCUCAUAUCAUAAGCAUCUUCAUCUGGCUCUCCGUUGCUAGCAGAGUAGUACUCUAACACUGUCCGGUACACACUGUAGCCUAGUUGCUUAUACAUAUUUACUGCAACCUGAUUUGAUACUCUCACAAAGAGAUCAACAAAAAAUCCACCUUUUCUUUGGAAAAAAAAAAAAUAAAUAAAACAUGGUAAAGAAGAGCAGGUGAACAUAUUGUCAAUUAAGAACUGAUAACCUAUAUUCAGACCAAGAACAAGUCUGAUGUGGUGGUACACUAAUCAGACAUCCUUCACAACAACAGACACAUUCCUUUAACAAGGAACAAAUCUGGUAUCAGCUGAAAUAAUUGUGAUAGCCAAAUGACAAAUCUUCC
RNAcentral lists this long non-coding RNA (687 nucleotides) under Gallus gallus (chicken). The record is from RNAcentral. Lineage: Eukaryota; Metazoa; Chordata; Aves; Galliformes; Phasianidae.